This 716-nucleotide long non-coding RNA is filed under the name Mytilus galloprovincialis (Mediterranean mussel). The record is from RNAcentral. Lineage: Eukaryota; Metazoa; Mollusca; Bivalvia; Mytilida; Mytilidae.
CUGGGCUGGUGAUAACAUGAUCACUUACUUAAUAAUAUUAUUAGCUCACCUACCCAAAGGGCCAAGUGAGCUUUUCUCAUCACUUUGCGUCCGUCGUCCGUGACGUCGUCGUCCGGCGUCGUCUGUUAACUUUUACAAAAAUCUUCUCCUCUGAAACUACUGGGUCAUAUUUAACCAAACUUGGCCACAAUCAUCAUUGGGGUAUCUAGUUUUGAAAAUGUGUCCGGUGACCCGGCCAACCAACCAAUAUGGUCGCCAUGGCUAAAAAUAGAACACAGGGGUAAAAUGUAGAUUUUGGCCUAUAUAUAUCUCUGAAACCAAAGCAUUUAGAGCAGAUCUGACAGGAGGUGAAAUUGUUUAUCAGGUCAACAUCUAUCUGCCCUGGAAUCUGGUCCUUGAUUCUUUUCUUCAUUUCAGUGGCUCUAUAUACACACUUACUUCUUUUUCUUUCCCUUUUUUAUUGAUCAAAUGUCUACUCUUGUAAAGGAAAGUAAAUGACUUCAUACAAAAUGUAGAUCUAUCUAUGACUGUACCUUUUGCUUUGAGAAUUACUUGAUUAUGAAGUUUGAUCAACGAAUCAGUAUUAAGGUGCCUCGGGUGUCUUCCUCCAUCUUGGAUUUUGAAGUAGCAGAUAGCAUUGGUGUAGAUCCUUGAUAAAAUGUCCAAAUUUUCAGAGUAGUAUGUAAUUUAUUUAAAAGACUUUUGAUGAAAAUAUA